GGAGAGAUGGCCGAGUGGUCGAAGGCGCUCCCCUGCUAAGGAGUAUGCGGGCAAACCUGCAUCGAGGGUUCGAACCCUCUCUCUCCGCCA
This 90-nucleotide transfer RNA is filed under the name Rhodocyclaceae bacterium. Its description in RNAcentral is "tRNA-OTHER". It matches the Rfam family "tRNA". From Rfam's summary of the family: Transfer RNA (tRNA) molecules are approximately 80 nucleotides in length. Their secondary structure includes four short double-helical elements and three loops (D, anti-codon, and T loops). Further hydrogen bonds mediate the characteristic L-shaped molecular structure. tRNAs have two regions of fundamental functional importance: the anti-codon, which is responsible for specific mRNA codon recognition, and the 3' end, to which the tRNAs corresponding amino acid is attached (by aminoacyl-tRNA synthetases). tRNAs cope with the degeneracy of the genetic code in two manners: having more than one tRNA (with a specific anti-codon) for a particular amino acid; and 'wobble' base-pairing, i.e. permitting non-standard base-pairing at the 3rd anti-codon position. The record is from RNAcentral. Lineage: Bacteria; Pseudomonadati; Pseudomonadota; Betaproteobacteria; Rhodocyclales; Rhodocyclaceae.